CCUCACCCAUAUGAUCCUUUUGGUUAUUUUGUUUUCACCCCUGAGUUUUUCAAGCAGAAGAAUCCUACUUACCUCGCAGAAGUUUGGAAAGAAUACAACAAAGGUGACUCCAGAUACGUUGGGAGGGACUCAGCCGUAAUUGCGGUCGAAGGAAGAACCGCUGUUCUGGAGGGCCCAGCUUGCAUUCUAGCUGCGCUAUGGUAAUUGUUGGAUGGCAUGAAGACGGGUCAAUUUUUGGAAUUUUUGAAGAGGAUGUCAUUAAAAGUAUCUUGAGUAUAUUCAUUACUUAUGCUGUACUUAACUUUAUCCAAGCUACUCUAGAUAUAAUCCUGAGCUUCAGUACAUGGGGAAGUAACGCAGUUGGUGACCAUCAAUACCGGUUUCGAAAUCGACAUGGACAUCCAAUAUUAGAUCCGAAGAUAUGCUGACCGAAGUUCUGUCGUAUUUCACGAAACCAUCAAUACCGGAGAAGACGAAGCGUAUCCGGUACU
This is a long non-coding RNA of Helianthus annuus (common sunflower), 491 nucleotides long. RefSeq lists it as uncharacterized. The transcript has 4 exons. Lineage: Eukaryota; Viridiplantae; Streptophyta; Magnoliopsida; Asterales; Asteraceae. The record is from RefSeq and is a predicted model, not a curated record.